CCUACGGGGUGCAGCAGUAGGGAAUCUUCCACAAUGGGCGAAAGCCUGAUGGAGCAACGCCGCGUGGGUGAAGAAGGUCUUCGGAUCGUAAAACCCUGUUGUUAGAGAAGAAAGUGCGUGAGAGUAACUGUUCACGUUUCGACGGUAUCUAACCAGAAAGCCACGGCUAACUACGUGCCAGCAGCCGCGGUAAUACGUAGGUGGCAAGCGUUAUCCGGAUUUAUUGGGCGUAAAGGGAACGCAGGCGGUCUUUUAAGUCUGAUGUGAAAGCCUUCGGCUUAACCGGAGUAGUGCAUUGGAAACUGGGAGACGUGAGUGCAGAAGAGGAGAGUGGAACUCCAUGUGUAGCGGUGAAAUGCGUAGAUAUAUGGAAGAACACCAGUGGCGAAAGCGGCUCUCUGGUCUGUAACUGACGCUGAGGUUUGAAAGCGUGGGUAGCAAACAGGAUUAGAUACCCUUGUAGUC
RNAcentral lists this ribosomal RNA (465 nucleotides) under uncultured bacterium. RNAcentral's name for it is "partial 16S ribosomal RNA". It matches the Rfam family "Bacterial small subunit ribosomal RNA", at positions 338 to 795 of the family's 1533-position model. The record is from RNAcentral.